UUUUUUUUUAUAAAUUUUAAUUUUUUUAUUUUAAUCAAUUUUUUUAGUAUUUUAUUAAAAUAAUUUUAUAUUUUUAAUUCUGUUAAGUUUUUUAUUAAUAAAUUUAGUAUAAUUAUGUAGUACCUUUUGUAUCAGGUUAAAUUUAAUUUUUUAUUUAUAUUAUUUCCCCGAAAAUAAGAUAUCUAAUUUAUUUUUUUUUUUAUUGUUGAAUUAAUAUUCAUAAAUAUAUUUUAGUAGUUAAAUUCUAAUCGUUCUUUUUUAUAUCUGGUUAUUUAGGAAUUCAAUUUAAUUGAUGAUUAAAUCAAAAUUAUUUAAUCUUAUAUAAUUUGGGAUAAUCUUUAUUAUUUUUUAUAAUUUAAUUAUUAAAAUAUUUAUUUAUUUUAAAAUCUUUUAUUAAGUUCUUAAUAGAUUAAUAUUUAUUUUUUAAAAUUUUAUUUUAUUUAUAUUUUUACUAAAUUAAUUUAUUAAAUAUUAAUUUCAAUAAAAUAAUGAUUUAAUUAGUAUAAUUUAUAAUUAAUUUAUAAUUAACUCGACAAAUUUAAUCUUCAACUGUUUAUCAAAAACAUUUCUUUUAGAUUUUAAAUUAAAGGUAAAUUCUGCCCUAUGAUAUAUUUUUAAAUGGCUGCAGUAUAUUGACUGUGCAAAGGUAGCAUAAUCAUUAGUCAUUUAAUUGUUGACUUGUAUGAAUGGAUAAAUGAGGGAUUAAUUUUUUUUAAUUUAUUUUUAAAAUUUUAUUUUUAGGUAAAAAAGCUUUAAUUUUUUUUUAGGGACGAUAAGACCCUAUAGAACUUUAUUAUAAUAAGUAUACUUAAUUUUUUGGUUAAAAUUAUAUUAUAAUAUUUUAUUAUUUUUUUAUUGGGGUGAUAAAUAAAUUUUUAACUUUAUUUUUUUAAUUCAUUAAUUUAUGAUUUUUUUGAUCCAAAAUUUUAGAUUAAAAGUCUGAGUUACCUUAGGGAUAACAGCGUAAUUUUAAUGGGGAGUUCAUAUUUAUAUUAAAGUUUGCGACCUCGAUGUUGAAUUAAGAUAAGUUUGGGGGGUAGAUUUUUCAUUACUAAGUCUGUUCGACUUUUAAAUUCUUACAUGAUUUGAGUUCAAACCGGUGUAAGCCAGGUUGGUUUCUAUCUUAAGAUUUUUUUUAUCUAUUUAGUACGAAAGGACCAAUAGGUUCAAUUAUUAUUUGUAUUAAAUUGAAUAUAUAUU
RNAcentral lists this ribosomal RNA (1200 nucleotides) under Nanatka castenea. RNAcentral describes it as "16S ribosomal RNA". The record is from RNAcentral. Lineage: Eukaryota; Metazoa; Arthropoda; Insecta; Hemiptera; Cicadellidae.